AAAAAUCAAACCUAUCUGAAGUUGGGGAACCCAGAGAAUUUAAAAGCCGGAAGCUCACUGUUGGAAUCACAAGUUUCUUGUGUGACAAGCAUCGUUCCUACAGCAUCGGGUGGACAGAGUUUCGAGCAUUUCAACUGGAACUUCAAUGAUGGACAAAACACACUCUGGUGGAGAUAAAUAUGACUAGUCACCGUUCCUGGAUAGCAUUAAAGCUUUAAUGUAACAAUGUUGAUGUGAGCAAAUUUGGAAACAACACCUCUGUAUUUAAACGACACCGGAGACUUUUGCGAAUGCACAACUGAUGCAGUCGGAUUUCUUUGACGGUUUGUACUCCUAAUUUUCUGGUUGAAUCGAGGGUGACUGAGAGUUUCGUGUAAGUAACUUUGCUUGGAUGCUCAUGAAUCGUGAUAUGGUCAAUAGGUUAAAGAAAAAUACAAGCUUGAAUAUGCUUACUUGGGGUCAUGACACAACUGGGGGGAUUUGAGUACUAAAAAUGGGAUCACUGAGUUAUGAGUGCAUAUCUGUUCAAAUUUUUGUUUUGCUGGUGAAUGAGACGGAGGCGGCCUAGAAAGCUCAACAUAUCGGACGUUGAUAGGUACUUACAAUUACGGACAUGUUAUUCGUAAUAGGUAUAUCGGAAUAUAUGUAGUUGGUAUAAGAGCAUUUUCAGUGGAGUCCCUAUAUAGAGACAAUCAACGUAUAAAAUGAGCAUACAACAAAUAUAAGGACAAAAUGAAUCUCUAAUGGAUCGGAAAGUGAGUCCCUAAAGUAUAGAGACUUGCCGGAUAUUUGGUAUAUGUACCCACAUAUAGGGACUAAAAUGGUGAACCCAAUAGAACAAUUUAAGUGAAAAAGUAGGCAUGGGUCCCUGUCACAUGGCCUUGUCUUUUCUUUCUUUCUUUUCAAUCGUUUCAAUGGAGUGUCCAUAUUGAUUCUUGCUUUUUAGAUUCUUUUACCAUUGAAAGAUCAACGGUUCCAAUUAAAUAACCGUUUUAAUUUAGGUUACUCUCUCAUGUUGGUUUCCAAUUUUUUUUACUCUUUUCAUAUUGCUUCGCUUAAGCAAGUGGUCUCGGUUUCGAACCCUUGUGGAUGCAGAAAACUUUCUUGGAAGAGGAGAAACCUAAAAAAACAAUUUCAAUUUGGGCUACUCUCUCGUGUUGUUCUCUCAUCAUUCUUAUAAAUACCAAAUUAUCUAACUAAAACUUACCACAACUUCAUCUCUUAUACUUAGUUCACUCGUCGUACUCAAUUCACUCAUUCUAGUUACGUUUUUGUGAAGAAGAAAAAUUGGUGUCAGAAUUUGAUUUUUUAUUUUAUUUUUGGUUAAAAUGUUCAAAAAAAUAUAUUAUGAGAAUGUAAUGUUAAAUUAAUUAAAAAAAUAUGCACCUAAUCAAACUAUCACAUAAAAUUGUAAAAAAAACUCAAAUUUAGAUAUUCUACUAUGAGGACUCUCCCAUUAGAGGUAAUAUUCCUUUAGGGACACAACGAUUCCCUUUAAGUCUUUAAAUGAGUACUCAAGGGUGGUGGUGGGAGUCCUUAAACAGGGACUCCCAUUAAAGAUGCUCUAAGUACUUGUGAUGAGAUGCCAAGUAUCGGUACUCUCGAUUAGGGACAUUUUAUAGGUAUAUCAGAAAAUAUGUGUCGCUGGUAAUUUGUAUAUGUACUUCCAAUUAGGGACACCUAAUAGUAAUAGUGUUUCUUUGAGGGUGUCUCUUUUCUGCUGUAGUAGACAUAAGUUGCCAUGAAAGUUUGGCUUCAGCGCAAAGAAGUAUAUGUUUUUUGCAGCGUGGUCUGUGGGUUAUUGGUGUUUUGGAGUUCAUAUUUUCAUGGAGCUUACUAUGGUUUCUAUGCUUUCCUUUCAUAUAACUUUGACUUUCCGGUCUUUGAAUCUUCUUUUAGGGGUUUUUUUUUUUUUUUUUUUUUAAGGGGAACAAUUGGUGGCAAGCCACAGUUAUCCACCCCUUCCGGGAGCUGGGAAAUAUUCUUUUAGUUUCUCCCCUUUUCGUUUGCAGAGUUGAGGUGGAAGGUUAGGUUUGUUUUGAAGUUUGUGCUGUUUUUUUUUCAAGGAAGACGUUUGUGCUGUUUACCUCUCUUCUUUUUUAUGUAUUAUUUUCAAAUGAAAAAAAAAAAUCAUAUCAUAUCAUAUCAUAUUAGGUUUCUCCUUGAAAUUUCUUGCUCUAUCAAGAAAUCGUGUUGAUAUGAACCCUCUUUCAAAGAAUAGCUCCAGAACCCAAAUUCUUGACAUAUUUUUACGUCCGAUGCGCUAUCUUUUUCUCUUGAUCAUAUGUAAUAGGUGUUCACUUUGUUUAUCUCAAUUGUAUGCAGUUGUAACUUAGGAUCUGGCGAAUAUCAAACCUAUCUGAAGUUGGGGAACCCAGAGAAUUUAAAAGCCGGAAGCUUGUCCUACAGCAUCGGGUGGACAGAGUUUCAAGCAUUCCAACUGGGACUUCAAUGAUGGACAAAACACACACUCUGGUGGAGAUAAAUAUGACUAGUCACCGUUCCUGGAUAGCAUUAAAGCUUUAAUGUAACAAUGUUGGUGUGAGCAAAUUUGGAAACAACACCUCUGUAUUUAAACGACACCGGAGACCUUUGCGAAUGCAGAAGUGUUGCAGUCGGAUUUCUUUGACGGUUUGUACUCCUAAUUUACUGGUUGAAUCGAAGGUGAC
RNAcentral lists this long non-coding RNA (2669 nucleotides) under Malus domestica (apple). RNAcentral describes it as "long non-coding RNA (MDOM_LNC003417)". The record is from RNAcentral. Lineage: Eukaryota; Viridiplantae; Streptophyta; Magnoliopsida; Rosales; Rosaceae.